RNAcentral lists this ribosomal RNA (469 nucleotides) under uncultured fungus. Its description in RNAcentral is "eukaryotic LSU rRNA". The stretch from base 52 to 205 matches the Rfam family "5.8S ribosomal RNA". The record is from RNAcentral. Lineage: Eukaryota; Fungi.
UUUUUUAAAACACAAGUGAAAAUGAAUGUAAACAAACCUUUAAUUAUAUAUAACUUUUAACAAUGGAUCUCUAGGCUCUCACAUCGACGAAGAACACAGUGAAAUGUGAUAAGUAAUGUGAAUUGCAGAAUUCAGUGAAUCAUCGAAUCUUUGAAUGCACCUUGCGCCUUUUGGUAUUCCAAAAGGCACACCUGUUUGAGUGUCAUGAAACCCUCUCAUUAAAAUAACUUUAAUUAAUUAUUUUCAAUGGAUGUUGAGUGCUGCUGUCAUUAGCUCACUUUAAAUAUAUAAGUCACUUUUCAAUAAGUUGGAUUGGCUUGAUGUAAUAAUGUUAUCAUCACAUCAAGGAAAGUAGCAAUACUGCCAUCUUAUUUUUGAAGGGAGACUCCUAAAACCCCCCCAUUAAUUUUUAAGACCUCAAAUCAGGUGGGACUACCCGCUGAACUUAAGCAUAUCAAUAAGCGGAGGA